Molecule: long non-coding RNA, 988 nt
Filed under: Marmota monax (woodchuck)
Lineage: Eukaryota; Metazoa; Chordata; Mammalia; Rodentia; Sciuridae
Source: RNAcentral
UUUGUGCCUCAGACUUUUGACAGAAAGUGUCCCUGCUGAAAACUGAAACAGAAGGGGAGGAAAUGCCAGAUCCCUGCCAGGAGCCACAAAGAUUUAUCUCCUCUGGGUUAUUCAUGUGUGAUAGAGAGAGCACUCGAAUCCAUAAAGUGAGUGGGAACCCUUGGAAAGCAGUGCCAUCCUGUUUCCUGUUUAACUGCAGGAAGCUGUGCAUUAGGGAAGGAGGGUUCCAUUUCAACAGGGAUCAGAAAAUGCAAAUUGAGGUGCUGGCCUUGAAGGGUAGAUUUAUUGCCCUGGGAGGAAAUUACAAAAUAGGCAGAAUUUAAUUGAUGGAAGAACCUGUUAAAUUAAUCCUGCCUUAGAGGCAGGUGGAGUAUUGGAAACAGGUUUUGAAAAUCUAGCUUGUUGGCGAAUUCACAACUUGGGAGGUUUGUUUGUUUUUUUAGAGUCCACUAAAGGACAGGAUGAUAAUUAAACCUACAGAAGUGUCUGUUAUGGUUUGGAUAAGAGUGUCCUCCAAAAGUGUAGUGUAAAACAAUGCAAGAAAGUUUGGAAGAGAAAUAUUGGGUUAUUACCUUAAUCUAAUUAGCGAAUUAUCCUUGAUGGGAUUAACUAGGUGUUAACUGGAGGCAGGUGGGCGUGGUUGUAGGAAGUGGUUAAUUGGGGGCGUGGCUAGAGGGGAUAUAUUUUGUAUCUGGGGAGUGGAGUCUCUCUCUCAGCUUUCUGAUCUGCUUUCCCUCUGCUACACUCUUCCUCCAUGAUGUUCAGCCUCACCUAGAGCCCCAGGAACAGAGCCAGCCUUCUAUGGAUGAAGACCUCUGAAACCAACCGUGAGCCCUCAAAUAGACUUUUCUUCCCCUAAAAUUUGUCUGGUCUUUUCCUCACAGCAGCAAAAAAGCUGACUAAAACAGUGUCACUGCUACAAUGAUGUUAAAUGAUAAAAUGUACCUAAAAUGGCUGAGACAUUAUAGGAAUUCAAUUGUGAAUACAC